GGGGAUUUAGCUCAAUGGUAGAGCGCUUGCCUAGGAAGCGCAAGGCCCUGGGUUCAGUCCCCA
Rattus norvegicus (Norway rat) is the source of this 63-nucleotide non-coding RNA. Lineage: Eukaryota; Metazoa; Chordata; Mammalia; Rodentia; Muridae. The record is from Rfam.